Non-coding RNA from Aspergillus fumigatus Af293, 72 nucleotides. The record is from the annotation of a RefSeq genome assembly. NCBI's taxonomy places the organism in Eukaryota, Fungi, Ascomycota, Eurotiomycetes, Eurotiales, Aspergillaceae.
CGUGAUCUCCCCAUGUGGGCCAUUCACAGCGCCAAUUGACUCCGCCCGCGGAGAGGAGGAGGAGGAGGGUUG